ACUCCUACGGGAGGCAGCAGUGGGGAAUAUUGCACAAUGGGGAAACCCUGAUGCAGCCAUGCCGCGUGUGUGAAGAAGGCCUUCGGUUGUAAAGCACUUUCAGUAGGGAGGAAGGUAGUGUAGUUAACACCUGCAUUAUUUGACGUUACCUACAGAAGAAGCACCGGCUAACUCCGUGCCAGCAGCCGCGGUAAUACGGAGGGUGCGAGCGUUAAUCGGAAUUACUGGGCGUAAAGCGCAUGCAGGCGGCCUGUUAAGUCAGAUGUGAAAGCCCGGGGCUUAACCUCGGAAUUGCAUUUGAAACUGGCAGGCUAGAGUCUUGUAGAGGGGGGUAGAAUUUCAGGUGUAGCGGUGAAAUGCGUAGAGAUCUGAAGGAAUACCAGUGGCGAA
RNAcentral lists this ribosomal RNA (390 nucleotides) under uncultured bacterium. RNAcentral describes it as "bacterial SSU rRNA". It matches the Rfam family "Bacterial small subunit ribosomal RNA", at positions 335 to 719 of the family's 1533-position model. The record is from RNAcentral.